Molecule: ribosomal RNA, 485 nt
Filed under: uncultured bacterium
Lineage: Bacteria
Description: partial 16S ribosomal RNA
Rfam family: Bacterial small subunit ribosomal RNA
Source: RNAcentral
AUUGAACGCUGGCGGCAGGCUUAACACAUGCAAGUCGAGCGGGGAAAGGUAGCUUGCUCCCUGACCUAGCGGCGGACGGGUGAGUAAUGCUUAGGAAUCUGCCUAUUAGUGGGGGACAACAUCUCGAAAGGGAUGCUAAUACCGCAUACGUCCUACGGGAGAAAGCAGGGGACCUUCGGGCCUUGCGCUAAUAGAUGAGCCUAAGUCGGAUUAGCUAGUUGGUGGGGUAAAGGCCUACCAAGGCGACGAUCUGUAGCGGGUCUGAGAGGGUGAUCCGCCACACUGGGACUGAGACACGGCCCAGACUCCUACGGGAGGCAGCAGUGGGGAAUAUUGGACAAUGGGGGGAACCCUGAUCCAGCCAUGCCGCGUGUGUGAAGAAGGCCUUUUGGUUGUAAAGCACUUUAAGCGAGGAGGAGGCUACCGAGAUUAAUACUCUUGGAUAGUGGACGUUACUCGCAGAAUAAGCACCGGCUAACUCUGUG